Molecule: non-coding RNA, 89 nt
Organism: Arachis ipaensis
Lineage: Eukaryota; Viridiplantae; Streptophyta; Magnoliopsida; Fabales; Fabaceae
Source: RefSeq, a predicted model, not a curated record
ACAACAAGAAGUAUAAUAAUGAAGAGAAGUGGCAGCAGGAAGCAGCAGAGGUUGUGUCUUUUGAGCAUUUUCCUGCAGAGAGUUCUUCU